Molecule: long non-coding RNA, 1285 nt
Filed under: Lactuca sativa (garden lettuce)
Lineage: Eukaryota; Viridiplantae; Streptophyta; Magnoliopsida; Asterales; Asteraceae
Description: long non-coding RNA (LSAT_LNC006758)
Source: RNAcentral
GGCCGCCUUUUAGACCCUCAAAACAGCUUAACAGAAGUUAAUUAUCGACUAAAUUAGGUUAGAAGUCAAAUCCUCCCUUCUGGUUAGCUGAUAAUCGCUUUUUAUAGCCCUUGGAACCGACUUACGUACGCUGGGCGUAAGUCUAAUUACGCUGGGCGUAGUGAGGAUUAAUACGCGAUGAGGUUAUCCGGAUGCCAGCCGUUACGCGAGGCGUACAUAUAGCUUACGCUGGGUGUAACUCGUAUUUGGCUAUUACGCUUGGCGUACAUGUACAUUACGCGGGGCGUAAACGGCUCCUCCAGCAUUUUUCCUUUCUUUUAGCCUCUAAGCCCGAUUUCCGCUUCAGUCUUUUCUUUUGUGCUCUAUCGACAACGAAUAGCUGCAAAUCAUAAUUCAAAGCAUUAUAAGUACUUUUUAGUUCUAAAAGAGAAUAAUAAAGGCCAAAAUAUUAAGAUAUAAUGUAUAAAAAUAUAUAUAAAAAUACACAUAUCACUGGCUAUGACUUCGCUCUGUACUAUAGCUCCAGUGGAAGGAAUAGAAGGAAUGGAAGGAAGGGACAGUGGUGGUAGUGACCGAUUAGUUGACACAUGUUUCCUAUCACCACUGUUUUCCAGCCAUUGCCUCCACUUCCCUACCGUUACCUCCAUAUCUUCUUCCUUAACUCGAUGAAACCUCUCAUUCUUAGAUCCUAAAACCCCCAUUUCCCCCAAUUCAUCUCUCUCCCUAAUUUCACCCAUACAUCUCCCUAGUUAGAAAAACAUGCUCAAAUCGAAUCAAAGGGUACUUAAACCCAAAUCGAAUCACCCACUGGAAAUUGUUGCCAAGUGGGUGGCAUGCUAAAGGAGUUUAGUCAACAAAGACGACGAGAGACUUUUAACCCAAAUCGAAUCACCUACCAUAUAUGGAGCCUUUGGUGGUGCAUACUAGUAUCAACAAACGAUGACGACAAUAAUGGGGAGACAGAAACCAGAUGGAGCAGCACCACCGACUAUCAACAAAUCCUCGAUGCCUUAUGAUUCAUUUGCCUUAAUUUUAUUCUGUCACUUUUUUCCUCUAUGCUCUAUUAGUUGCAAUGGUACCUAUUUGAGGGUUUUAGUUAGAAUGGGAAAGGGGUUGCGAUGGAGGAUAUGGUAAGGCGGCAGUAGACGGUGGUGACGAUCGAUUAUGUUUAAGUUGCUGGUGGUGAGAUGUAGGCACGAUGGCCAUGGUGGUGGUGUGCGUGUCGAUGGAAGAAAGAAAAAGAUGGGGAGAAUUGUCGAGAGAUAAGGGGAGGAGGGUGGAUAAG